Long non-coding RNA from Cryptomeria japonica (Japanese cedar), 424 nucleotides. RefSeq lists it as uncharacterized. Lineage: Eukaryota; Viridiplantae; Streptophyta; Pinopsida; Cupressales; Cupressaceae. The record is from RefSeq and is a predicted model, not a curated record. The transcript has 2 exons.
UUGUUUAUAUUUUCUUCGACUUCCUUUUAGAACUUCAAUGUAAUAUAAAACAUGUGUAUUUAGGUAAAUUAUUGUCAUAAAGAGCUGGAAGGGUGCUGCUUUCCUUUCAGGAUCGGCUGGAUCCUUGUUAUGUUUAAUUUCAUUAUCAGCCCUAUGAGGCUUGUUAAGACUCUCUUUACCUUACUUCUAAGGAUAGAUGGUUUAAAGUUGGUUUCUUUUUGGUUACCUGUUGUUUAAGUUGCUAUAUGGACGAGAUUGUUAUCAAUCUUGGGUUGACUAUCAUUUGGCAGCUUGUGUGUGUUGGUUAUGCUCUCUCUGAGGCUUGUUGUGUAUUCGGGGUCAGCCCCCUUGUUUUGGCUGCUUUAUUAUCAAAAACAAGUUUACAAACAUCUUAAGUAGAAUGCAAAUUCUUUUCUUUAUGUAA